Molecule: transfer RNA, 117 nt
Filed under: Anabaena cylindrica PCC 7122
Lineage: Bacteria; Bacillati; Cyanobacteriota; Cyanophyceae; Nostocales; Nostocaceae
Rfam family: tRNA
About the family: Transfer RNA (tRNA) molecules are approximately 80 nucleotides in length.
Source: Rfam by way of RNAcentral
UGGUGGGUAGCCAAGUGGUAAGGCAUUUUAUCCUUAUUCACAACCUUGCCUGUAAAGGCCGACGAAUUGAGGGUUAUCGUUGAAAAACAUUCGCAGGUUCAAAUCCUGCCCUGCCAC